GUACACGCGUCAUGGUGUUAGUGAGGGCCAUCUUUCUGACAUCCACCUCGUCGUUCGUCGAAUUGCCGUGAAAAAAUUGCAAACGCCCUGUGAAAAGUUAAAAAUUUAAGGCCAUAAUCGACGAUAUUUGUGCUUAACCUGUGAUAAAAACAUAGAUUUGCCGACAUUCGUAACAAAGGCCGAUAGAUUGGUGCAAACAUCGUGCUCUUGAAGCUGAAUUCUUCGUUUUCGUGAGGCAUCUGAGAACAAGCCCCGGACGGAAUCGAGCAACGUCAGGGGAAGUGAAGGGGAACGAUUAGAAGUUGAAAAUUUUACCUGUGUCAGCAGCAAUAGAAUUCAGCUUUUCUGCGUAAAAAACCCUUUGCAGUAAACCAGAUCUAACGCAGCGAUGGGUCGCAAGAAGAAAAAGGCGUCAAAGCCUUGGUGCUGGUACUGCAACAGAGAAUUCGAUGACGAGAAGAUUUUGGUGCAACAUCAGAAGGCAAAGCAUUUCAAAUGCCACAUUUGUCAUAAGAAGCUGUAUACGGGUCCCGGACUAUCGAUACAUUGCAUGCAGGUGCACAAGGAAUCGAUUGACAAGGUUCCAAAUUCUCUUCCAAAUCGGUCCAAUAUUGUGAUCGAAAUUUACGGAAUGGAAGGCAUACCUCCGGAGGAUAUUCGUGAGCACGAGAAACAAAAGAAUGGAAAUCGAUCAGAAUCGGAAGAAGAGGAGCCGGCGCACAAGAAAAUGAAGCAAGCUGAGGCGUCCGUAUCGCAGGGAAUGAUGCAAAUGCAGAAUAUGAUGCCUCCGCAUUUACAGGCUGCGUACAGCAUAAACCCCAUGAUGAGCGCAAUGGGAGGGAUCAAUCCGUACAUGGUACCACCCGGUAUGCCGAUGAUGCCCGCGAUGAUGGCAGGGGCCCAGAGACCCCUCUUUCCAGCCGCCGCCGCAGCCAGUGCUGCCACUGUGACUAGUGCAUCAAAGCCGACGUUUCCAGCAUACAGUUCCGCCACGAUUAGUGCUCCUCCAACAACCAACAGUGCUAUCUCGGCAGCAGCAAGUGGCAACAGCAACAACGGAUUGGGUGGUGGUGAUGCGACGAAAGGCGCAUCGUCGUCCAUCAUGCCUAAUUCGGGUACUGCGACCUCUAAGAUUGUGCACCCGCCAGAGGAUCUCAGCUUGGAAGAGCUUCGAGCGCGCAAGCCCCAGUAUCAAAAGCAAAUUCAGCAAGCUACUCAGCAAAUGCUGCAGCAAAAACAGCAAGAAAAACAACAAGCACAGGUAGCUGCUGCGGUUGCGGCGGCCCAGCAACAACUGCAGGCACAAGCGCAGGCACAACUUAAGCAGCACCAUCAGCAGCAGCAGCAACAACAUCAACAACAAUUGCACCAACAGCAGCAGCAGCACCAGCAACAGCAACAGCAACAACAGCAGCAACAGCAACAGCAGCAGCACCAACAACAACAGCAGUUGCAACAAUUAUCGCCGUUUUCCUCAGCAGCUGGUACCGCUUCAAUCGUUUCCAACACACAAACAACCGCCGCUAUGAAAGAUAAUCGAAUGAUGUCGCCACAAGAGCAAGCCGCUGUGAUAGCACACGCACAUGCCGCCGCAGCCAACCAUCACAAACAGAUCGAGGAAUUGAAUCGUGCUGCAAUGAUUCAUCGGUUUCAGGCAGCAAACGCAGCCGCAGCGAAUGCUGCAGCAGCAGCCGCCAGCAGACCAGGAAUGCCAAUCGGAAUGGUUCCUGUAUCUCUGGGAGGCCCUGUCCCACUUAUGUCUCCAAUGAUGCGUCAAGGACUAGCAAUUGGUCCACCGGGAGGAGGCAACUUGGCGCUUUUAGGGGGAAACAUGCUUCGUCCUGGUCCCCCACAAAUGGGUCUUGGUCCAGUGCAAUGACGUCUCACAAAUUCGAGUUCAACGCACUCGAGAUUUCCUCGUGCGCAAACUGUGUCCGCCCAAGGACACCAGUGCAGUACAAUCGAGAAAUGAAAAAUGAAAUAAAAUGUUAUAAAGGGCUGGAUGAUAAUUUCAUACCUGUUACCACUCUUCCCCGUGUCUAAGAUAAGCCUAUAAAAAUACUACUAACAUCACUUAAAUGUGUAUUCUACCCCUUCUGGCAGUAACCUUGUGUGUAUGUGUGUGUGUAUUUGUUGUGAGUGUAUUUGAGUGUGCGUGUGUGUGCGCGUGUUCUAGGUUUGGUUCCUCUAUUGUUGAUAACCUUGUGUUAAAUGUGUGUUAGUGUAUAGCAUUACUUUUAGGGGCUUCUGUAUGCUUAGAAUCGUCGCCAAGAUGUUAUUAUUGUUUGCACUUUCAUUCAUAGCCGAGAAUACCAACAAUCUCGCCAAACAAUUCUUAACUAGCUAACUAUUAUUUCCUAUUGCAUACAAAUGUUCUGCACAUUUAAUUAUAUAUCUCAUUUCAUUUUCAUUUCUUUCAUAUUAUGUCCUUUCAUUUGUCCUGGUUGCCUUCGAAAUAAGAAACUAAUCCAAUGAAUGCCUAUUUGUAGUUAUUAAUUCAUUCGUGUUUUGUGUGUGUGUGUGUUUUUGUGUCAAAUGUUGUAAAAUGUUAACGUAGUCGAUUGAUUAAUUUUCCCGUUUGCACAUUUUUUUACAAAUUGAUCUUAUAUAUGUCUCAGUAUGAUCAUUGUAGAUUCGUGUUAAUAAUUUUGCUUUCAUACUUGUAGGGUUCUUAAACAAUGAUUUAAGAGAGUCGCUAUAAAGCUACCAAAGUUCGUCAUCGCAAUUAUAUUGUACAUUACUAUGUUUACAUCGCUGAAAGCGGUCGCAUUUCGGCUCGUGCGGUUGGAAAUUCAAACAAUCUGGCAGUACUAAACAAGAACAACGCGAGCAGAUAAGCAAAACAAUUGUUAUUCGUAUCUAUGUUCUAUAUAUCACUACACGUUGUCGUUGCUGUUUUGGAUAUGGUUAUCAUUUGGAUGAUUUUUUUUAUCGUAAUAAUGUUGACUUAAUUUUGUUACUGCUACUAUUGAUAUAACCGCUAAUACUAAUAUUUAUGCUACAACUGCUACUACCAUCACAACCACUAUCAUCACCAUCACCAUUAGCAGCGUCGUUUUGGUUCGGAAUAAAUACAAAUGAAUGAAAUCCCCAAAAUCAAAUAAUCUAGUUUUACGUUGAAUGGAACGCCGUAAUCCAGUAUAUCAUUUCUAAUACGAUACGUCGUUUUGCGUUUGUUUCUUUCCAUUGUUUUUUAUCUGCAUCGAAAAGGUGGUUUAAUUACGCAAAUUCCAACUGUACCAGGCAUGGGUGUAGUUUUUCCUGGAGCACCUAUGCUGCCGAUGAUGCCACCACGAUUCCGGUGAUUGCCUCAGCCAGCGCUGCUACCACAAAAUCCAGUUGCACAACAUCGUUCACUAGUAGCGGCUGCCACGUCUGCUGCGUUACCACCGUUGAUGCAACAGCUUCCAUUAUCAACGAUCUAUCCAUAAAUGCGAGAUGAAGAAGAAAUACGUGGCCAUGGCAUAUUAGGAGCAUAUUACCUUAAGAUUAAUGUGAGUUACGCAUCCUGUAACGGCCUGGAUGCUGCGUGGUAGUUGAAUUCAAACAUAAUGCAGCAACUUUCCGUUUAUUUUAUGCAAAUGACAAUGGGAUGUAAAAAGAAUAUUCAUUCAUCCAGUGUGCAGCACCAUUUGGUUGUGACAUUUAUCUGGUUUUCGCCAGCGUGUUAAUAGCAGCGGUAUGUGGUUUUAAUUAAUUUUCUAUAGUUCUAUAAUCUUUACAAAAAAAAAGACGAAAAUGUUCCGUAGGUGAACAAAUUUUAAGGCAAUAAUUCUGUAAUAAUCCUAAAAUACCAAAACAUAAGGUAAGGAAGUUGGGUUUAGUAAAAUCUAUAUGGAUAUAUGGAAUCUAAAAGGAUACGGCCUGAGAUUAUGUUUAAUCAAUCUAAAAUGCUCAAUUGCGUGAUGUGAAAAAAUACCCACAUCAAAAUAGAGCACAUAAUAAUCGCCGCCAAUUUAAUGUUAGGGCUGAGAAAAAAUGAGCUGUUCAACUAUUGACACCAUGCAUAAUGGGGAAAAUAUUUGCGUUUCGCUUUGUAAAUGUAUGCACAAAAAUUACACACCCAUCAGCUAUACAAAUCUUAUACUCUGUCAAGAUUUUUUAAUUACUUCUUAGUCAGCAAUUACAUAAAAACCCAAUUCUCAAUGCGUUUGGACGUUAAACCUGUCUUUUAACAUAUUUAAUUGUGGUGUUUGCAUCGCACCAGUAAUCAUGAGAAUAUCAUUAUUAUAUGUGCAUCGUAGACGAAGUGCAAUACCAUGGCAGCUGAUUAAGCAUUUGUAGUGGUAAAUAGCUCAUUGUAUUUGUUAUUGUUGCAGUAGAACUAAAUAUUGGUAUACAAAAUUGCUAUUAUAACGCGUUUUCGUACAAUAACGACAUGGUAAUAUUACCUAUUUUCGCUUCCUAAAAGAAAAAAAAACAAUCUAGAAACAGUCCCUCAUUACCUUUAACUCCAUGCUAGAAUGCUUUCAAAUCAUGAAUAUAUUUCUUACUAUACAUUUAGAAUUCACACUAGCAAUAAUGUUGCCUGUAGUGCCUGAUAAUAUUGUGAAACUAUUGUUGUCCAUUGAAAUUACGAAAGUGAAUGAGUGAAAAGAUACGCGUAAACUAUAUGUGCUUAGCAGUGAUUGAAACACGUUUACAAUUUGCCUUGUUUUCGAUAAUUUUACUGCAUUUGAUUUAAAAAAAGGCCAUUAUCUGAAACUAGUUUGUGACAUGGGAUGGAAAUGGAAUUAAUGUUUCUUUCGUUUUCGUUUAAUUUGGCGUUUUUGUGGUGUUUUAAAAUACAUUUAUUAUUUGGAUUACACGUAGGAUUUAACAUUAAAUAUGCGAUGUUUUUUUAAGGUUUCGCUCAAAUUUUAGUUUAAAUAUGUUAUUGAUGUUAUAAUUUUCAGUUUUAGCUUUUCUAAACAUGCUCAAUAACAAUAACUAUAAAUGGUGUGGUAUACUUUAUGAUUUAUUAUGGUGGUGGACUAAAAUGUAAACAGUAAAAUUGACUAGUUUUUUCCUCGUGGAAUUAUAUUCCUGUAUAUCAGUAAAAUCCAUGAAAAUAAUGUUAGAAACGUAGCUCAUUGAUUUUUUCCCCCCAUUUCUCCCUGGUCUGACGCUGUUGUAGUGAACGCGUAUCUUCAAUAACAAAUAAUAAUAGUCAUCUUCCAUCGUAAAUUUGGCCGUGCUCCACCACAUCAUACGGUAAUAGUUAAGUACCCCAUCCAUGAAUAGUUAAGCAUGGUCAAAACAAGCAUUGCGUUCUAUUUAUGCAAUUUUCACUCGUACACUCCCAGGUUUACUUCCUUAUUUACAGUAAGCGUCCACAAGGUGCAGUACCAUCGUACCUCAGCUGGCAGCCAUAAGCAUUACUCGGUAAUGAAUUAGUAGCGCAUUACUCGACGAUUUUAACCAUGAGCCGUACGUACCAGCUAAACAAAGAGGAAGAGAUAAAGGGAGAGUGAAAGAGGAGAUAGCGUAUAUUAGUAAAUAGUAAUAGUUUCAGUUGGUCGUGGAUCCCCUUUCGUUUGCAUCUUUUGUAAGCUUUACCUCUAACUUCAUCACUUGUACUCCUUUUAUAUGUUACUCUAAUCCUAUUGCCGAAAACUGCAGCCUAAUCGUGAUCGAACAGGUGAUUGUAUUGAGAAAGUCGUGCCGCCAGAACACUACUCUACUCUCAGCAAUCACAAAGUUGAUGUUGGACGGACAUCGUUCCGUUCCCACCCUUUGAGUGGUUGGUAGCGUCGCUUCAACCAGCUUCAUUAAGGGUCGGCGACAUUGGUCAGAGCUUGAGAGCUGUUUUAAGCAAGUUGACCAUGUGUCACAUCAGUUUUGUUGAGUGGAAAGUCCCUUGCCUGAGAGCGUCGAAGGCAGGCGAAAUUGUUUGCACAAUUUCACAGUUCCUCUAUUUUUUUUUGUUUGAUUGUUUUUAGAUGUGGUAAUAUGGGAAGAAGGUUUAAUGUGAUUUGUUACACGGUGAAGAUGGUGUAUGGUGUGGUGUUGAAGUUGUUUAAUUCUUCUUUAAAUAAUGCUUUUAAUAAAUAGUUUCAAGCUUCAUAAAGCAUUAGCUUUGUCCUUGUAAUAAUGGAUCAUGAAUGGAUGAGUUAUUCAACAGUAAAAGUGUCGGAAAUCUUUUUAUAUUUAUAACAUGUUACACGUAUGUUUUGUUGGAUAUGGUCUUACGUUUUGGGUUCUUUGCUUUUCACAAACCGUUCUUCAUUGCUACUUAUACAACCUAUCGUAUUUGAUAACUACUUUUAAAAUAAACUAUUUUAAGUUAGCCCUGUUUGCCGUUAUUGUGAUGAUUUUUUUUUAUUCUCACCACCUACGUAUUGGAACUGUUGGACUUUCCAUCCCCUGUUCGUGAUCGACAAUUGGGUAAUUUAAAUUUGAGUACAAACAUCACGUUAUAGUAUUAGGGGUUUUAAAAUGUAGUCCAUGCCUAACUCUUUCCUUCCUUCACUUUCUCUCUCUCUCCCCCCUCCUUCUUUCUAUCUCUCUCUCUCGCGCGCUCUCUCUGUCUCUCUAUUACUUUCUCUUUGCCUCUCCAUGUCCAUGCCUCAUGUGUGUUUCCCUGUAUUUUGUUUCCUUUUUUAUUUCUAUUUCCAUUCUCAGAGAGUAAUGAGAAUAUGCGAUUUAACAUGAGAUGUUUAAAAUUACAAAAGAAUUUGACGAAAAUGUUGUAUUGUAAGCAUAUCUUAUUUUUUUGAGUUUCUUCGCAUAUCUUCCUUGAUAAAUGUUAGCUGUUGCUAAUUUCAUUGUCCUCUGUUGUUUCGGUAUUUGUCUUUGUGGUCGUCUGGUAUCGGUUUUGUUUGAAUGUGCGGCUUUAAUACGCUUCAUACGAGGGUCUAUAUUGUGGGUGCGUGUAGAGGAUUCUACAACAGUGAAGUAGAACCAUUUUGAGUUAGUUUGGCUAUAACUGUAUGACGCAAGUAUGAGUUUGCUAUGAAAACUGUAUAUUCAUGUAUGCCUCACAAUAGGAAUCAAGCGAAAAGUGAAACUGUCCCAUGCUUGAUUAUUGUUGCAUUGUUUAGUUUUACCUUUCAACUAAAGUACUUUUAUCAUUUGUUCCGCGAGUUUAAUAGUUUUUACAAAUAAGCAUUGAUUGAUACAUCGAUUUCAUCUCACCUUCACCUUUUCAUCCAACGUAAAACAAUACUUUCGGUUUGAUUAAACAUGCUGCAUCUGUAAAAAGCAAUAAAUGGUGUAUCAUAAAUGAGAUAACAACACAAGAUAUCGCCAGUUGAAUGGUACUGUUUAUCAAUUACCGCCGCACUGUAUGAGCUAUAGAUUUGGACAUAUAUUUGUGAAGUACGUUGUGUGUAGCUUAAACCACAUCUAACUAUAUAGCACUCACCUGAAUUGGUGCCAGUUCCGAAGCACGCACUUAACAGCAGACGUUUGGUUUUAAAUUACAACGUUUUCAAGGGAUGGCCAACAAAUCCGUCGUGACAGUGGUGCUCGGAGAGCAUAAACCCGAGUGUUGUCGUAGAAACAUAUUCGCUGAUAGAACUAUUGAACGAUAAGCAACUAAAACCUAGUGCAAGAAGCAAUUGUUGACGUAAGUUUUUAGUGUGCAUAUUUCUAGUUUCCGAUAGCAAUCAAUGUAUGUAUGGGUUGUAUGUAUAUAGCAGUUAUGUAUAGUAAAUAUACAUAAGGGCUUUUAUGCAUAUAUAAAUACACAGCUACGUGAGAUUGUGCCACGCUAGGCAAAACGAAACAUGUUAAUAGUGUUUUUAUUUGUUAAGUGUAUUCAUUAGGCGAUAAACUCAAACUAUUCUUUCGAUUAUAUCUAUAUGCGUAGCGUGUCACCUGAGGUAUAGCACAUGAAUGGAAACAUAAUAAAAUAAAUGUAUAAAUUAAAA
RNA transcript from Anopheles gambiae (African malaria mosquito), 7853 nucleotides. It is a transcript of the gene named BUB3-interacting and GLEBS motif-containing protein ZNF207, with no coding region annotated. The record is from RefSeq and is a predicted model, not a curated record. The transcript has 8 exons. NCBI's taxonomy places the organism in Eukaryota, Metazoa, Arthropoda, Insecta, Diptera, Culicidae.